RNAcentral lists this long non-coding RNA (228 nucleotides) under Phoenix dactylifera (date palm). RNAcentral's name for it is "long non-coding RNA (PDAC_LNC015106)". The record is from RNAcentral. Lineage: Eukaryota; Viridiplantae; Streptophyta; Magnoliopsida; Arecales; Arecaceae.
GCAAAUAUAAUUCCAGCGUUAAACCCAACAAACAUGCAUGUCCAAAAUUGCAUCUCUGCAUCACCCCAACAUCUAAUUAAUCUCGGUGUAAUUGAAAAAGUUCUAUCAAACUCAUGUAGACCUGCAUCUAUCUGUACAGGAAACUAUGAGGAUAAUGGGCGAUACUGGGCAACGAGAACAGGCAGGCAGGAAUACAUUUAACAAUCCACUCAAGUAAUCAAUGCCAUC